GAGAGGACACUGCCUCUGGGAGGCCCAGCACAGCCCGGAGAGACUGGUCAGUCUGCAGAGCCCUCGGCGUGCAAAGCCACGGGCACGGACAAGCCGAGCGCGCAGGGACCACGACCACAGACGCGCAGGGCUCUCGCGUGCCUCACAACUCCUGACCUGCGAUCAGGGACUGCGCGGAGGCGCGCCAAGGCCCAGGAACACAGCCCUGGCCGGCCCGGGCCCUAGUGUGGGUGCUUUGGGGCCAUGUGCCUGCCCUGGCGCCGCUGAUGCUAUCGCCGGGUGGGCGCGCGCGUCUGGGGUGCGCCUGCUGCCACGUAGACCCAAACUGUCACCCCCCACCCCCCACCCCUUUCGGCCUAUCCCACACUCCUCUUCCGGCUCAGAACACAUCCGGCCUUGUGUUGCUCUAGUCCUCGCUGCUGCUCCGUCUCCAACGGUCUGCAGAGACCCGGGGAGGUCGUGGCCCCGCGCAGUCGCCCUUCCCACCUGCUCCCGGCCCGCGGCUUCCUUGGAGCCGCUGCUGAAGAUCCUCAGAGCACUUGAGGGCUGCCUGUAACGCCCCGUUAGACAUCUGAUAGGCGAACGGUUGUAUUUGGUUUGAUCAGUAUUUGUGGGUCAUUUAUUGCAAAUGUUAGGUUCCAGCUGGUGGAGAUUUCCACCAGAUUUCUCUGUGGGAGAUGAAACGACCAACAGCGAUUAUCAGAGAGGUCUUUGCUGUCAGCUCGAGGUCUACAGCAACCCUGUGUGUCCUAGCACAACUAGCCUCAGGCAAAAUAGAUACGGAUUCGAAUUUGCUACUAUAUACCUUUGAGGUGCACCUUUGGGAGGAUCUCAUCCCUUGACUUCUGCUUUCUCUCCUUGAUUGAUGGCUCUCAAAUCCACACACUUGGCUCAGAUAUGUUAGCCAUAUUUCCCCCUACCCUCCGGUUUUUUUCUUAGAACUUUCCUCCUCAAGUUACCACGUCUGGCACUAAAUUUUACCUCUUCCAAGCUCCCAACUCCAUUUAUCCCCGUGGUCUCGCCAUUCUCUCAGCCACCUGUCAUGCCUUCUUCAUCAGGUGCCUUAAUGGCUCGUCAGUACCGGACUUUGCUGCCUGUCCGCCUCUGGUAUUCCCCCGAUGCAGCGCUAUCCCGGGCCUUUUUUCUGCCCUGAAUACUGACAGCCUCUCCCAAUCCAUGAGCACAAAAUCUUUUCACUGUCCCCUUUGGCAUCACCCCCAACUCUCCCACCUGGCCCCCACAGAAGCCCACCGCAGCCCGCCCAACAAUGUCUCCUCUGCCCCUUCUGAUUGUCCUCUCACGGAUUGCAGGCUCUACUGCUUAGCUCACACUGUCACCCUCUUCUCUACAUGGGUUAGUCAAGGUGCUUUCUGCUGUAAAAGACAACCCAAUUCACACUAACUUAAAUCACAAAGGGUUGAUCCGCUGUGUACAUGAAGAGCCUGUCUGCUUCAGGCCUGGCUUUAGUCCCAGGGUCUCAGGGACUCCCCGUCUCAGUUUUGCUGUCUUCCACAUGAACUACGCUUUCAUGCGCACAUGAGACCCUGGCAGAUCCAGGCUCACAGCCUCACAGCUCUAGUUCUAGCAGAAAAUCAGCUUCUCUGCCAGCCAUUGCAACUAGCCUUGGACCUGGCUUUGUUUGCAGGAUUGGGCCACAUGUCCAUGCUGUGCUCUCAGCCUCUGUGACUCCAUGGCAGGUGGGUUCACUCGUGGACACACUAUCACCCUCAGCAGGGAGCAUGUAGGCACUCUUGGAUCCCUUCUCUGUCACAAGGGGACUAAAGGUAACUCAGGGCACCAUCUCUAGCCAUUUCUCUGCAAAAUUUGCCACACCAGCGCUUUGCUUGACAGCGCAGGGCAUACUGUGGGGGCAGAGUCUCAGCCUGGAGAUAGGACACAGGCCCUUUCUGCUUUCAGCUUCCUCCUUAACCUAUCUGAGAUCUGUGUCUUUGUACCACCCCCUUCCCUAGGUCCACACUUGGUAUAGGGAUAGCCUCAGGCCCUCAUGGAAUCAGGCAUCAUACACUCCCUAGACUCACAUCCUGUUUCUUUACCUCACCUUCCCGAUUCCCUGAGGAUGUCUAUGCUACCUUCCAUUCUAGAGGAGGCAUCUCCUCCCCCUGUGGACUCUGGGUUCUGAGUGGUACCCACCGAGCCUUAAUGGAGAAAGGGGCUAUAGGGAAGAAAAAAGAAAAGCUUCCUACAGGGAAAAUAGAUAUGAGGAAGCAUCUCAAGACCAUUACUCCCACUAAAUCUCUUUCCUCCGUGGUUGCUGAAGAGGCAGGAUGGCAGCCUGACACAGCUGGGGACCAUCUGGCCAGCACCUGGGGAGACUGUGCCAGAGACUGCAGCUGACAGAGGAAAGCAGAGUGGUGAGAUAGGCAGGUUUCUUUCUUUCUUUCUUUUUUGUUUACCUUCACAACAGAAUGGAUGUCAUAGGCAGGUUUCUGCUGUGCCUGAAUCCCACAUACCACUGGAUUUUUCAAGUACGUGUUCCAGUAAAUACCCCAUUUUCCCCCAAGCAAAUUAGAAUUGGCUUUCUCUGUCACUUGCAACCAAGAGAGUCUUGACUAGUAUAAGCCUCUAGCAUAGGACCUCACACAUUAGUUCCUGUAAAAUAGCAACUAUCAUCACCGUUAUUCAUAUGAUAAAUGAGCAAGCCAUCCUCUUUGGUAACUGUAAACUGUAGAAAUGAAAAGUGCAUGCAGUAUGCUCAAUAACUUUUGUCUCCCCUCUUAUUCCCAGCCUGCUCCUUUGUCCUUUCCAAAUUCACAUCUUGACCUCCAAGGAAACCCUCAACAUUCAUUAAAAGCAGAGCCCACCCAUCUUAUAAAAAUAGUCCCAGACUCACCCAAGUCACGAAUAUUCCGCUAGGCAGCAUUUGCUCCCAUGUUACACAAGUGAUCCCUUCCUAGACUAUAAGCAACUGGGAGCAGGUGUCCAGCUUCAAUUCACUUUCAAGCCUUUGAGCAAAAAUUGUACAAAUAUUUGCACAGCCUCCUUUGUCCCGUACUGUAGACUUAAAGAAACAAUGAGCUACUGCCUCUACACUUAAAGGGACUUUACCAUGGGGAAAGACAAAUAGUCUAGGACAGAGACUGAGAUGACAGAUGACAAUACCAGGGAGUCCUCUAGGGGAUGGAGGUGGAGUGGUUAUUUGCACCAUGUUCUAAGUUCCAAAGGCCUGUGCUGCCUGCAGUCUUGACUUAUGACAGAUUUUAUACAUCCACACUAAACCUUUCUUCUGUGCCCAUCACAGUAUCCAGAGAAUAAAUUUCAUUUCAAAAUUCCAUUUACCAUGGGUUUUGUUUCUCCGAUGACAAAAGAAGUACCUAUUCAUUGUUGAAACUUGGAAAAAUACAAAGCACACAAAAAUAAAGAUUAAAACUAAAAUUAUACAUAAUAGAUUUAUGUUGAUUAAUAUAGUAGAGAAUAUCAAACUGUGAUGUAAAGAGAGAAUAUGGCCUCAUUCACACUUCUACCCCACACCUGGCAACUGCAGGGCCUCAGGGAGAUAAAUAUCUUGCAAAAAGCUAAAGAUCAUCCUUAGCUUCUUGCAGAAAUGCUGCACUGUCUCUAACACAUGUAUAGUUUUUAAAAAUGCAAUCCAGGCCAGCUCCAGGGUGGUCUGUUCUCUAUUAUUUAUGUAUGCAUGAUUCAUUUUACUUACCACCAGCUGUAAUCCCUUCUCCCCACCCCUAGCAGGCCUAUUAUGCAAGUCCCUUCCCCCUCCUGAGAGCAGCUAGGGAGGCAAACUCAUUUUCCCAUCUAUCUGGGUGAAAUUUAAUUAGAAAGCCAAAUCUGGAAGAACAGAACACAAAAUAACCACAUUAAAUAAAAAUAAGAGAUGGCUCUGAACUUGACUUUAAGCCAAAAAAUCAAAGAACUGCAGUAAUUUGCUGAAUCAUAGAUCUAAAUACUCAUUUUUGUCUUCUAACCUCUAAGCCCAACUGAAAGAGGCUUCUAAAGAAAAAAAAGAAACAAACAAGUACUAGAUGAACACAAAUAACAUUUAGAAGUCAUAAAAGGACAACAAGGACUCUGGCUUUCUAUUCCAUCUAAAACAAUACCAGGCACAUAGUAGGUACUGUAUGAAAAUUGGAUGAAUGGAUAGAUGGGCUAAAAGACCAUACUUCUUGUUUUAUAAUGGAAUGUUAAUCAGAAAGGAGAUGAGAGGAGGUUGAGCAGCUGACGGAGCUUUCUGCAGUCUCAUGGCCACUUGAGAAACAGCAAUUGUAGUUCAGGGUCCAUGAGAGAUGGGGCCCAGGCGAUACCCUAGACUUCCAGUUAGGACCCAAAGGAGAGAGAUUGGAAGCUAGAAAACAGCCGUAAAGUGCUGUAAGUCAUUGCCAGUGUAGAAUUCUAUGCCCAGAAUAAACAAGAGACAGAGAAGAAUCAACUUACCCAAAAUCAGUCACAAAAUUAGGUAGUGGGAGACCCAGGACUAAAAUCCAGGCCUCCUGAACGUUUCAGGGCCCUUUUCACUAAACUGCACUGGGUUCUUUGCCCCAUAUAUAUGUUUUUUAAGCCACUAAAUAAAAAGAAAAUAAAACAUCUCAGUAUUCUCCAAAGAGGAGCAGAACAAAUUUAUCUUACAAGUUUGGAUUGUUCACAAAUUGCAUCCCGAAACUACUUGGGCUCACCACUUCCCUCAGUGGAUCCAGGCGACUUAUAUUCAUGAACACUGGCUGAGUUGCCUUGGGUUCUGAGAUCCUUUGCCUUCAGCCCACACCUCCCUGUUGAGGACAGACCAGAAUAUCCAAUUGCUUACUCAGUGAUUCCGUUGAACUUCUCAAAGCACCAAAAACUCCAUAAUGUCCAAAACUUAACUGGUGUUUUCUGUUGUAGGGAAUAGCGCCUGUGCCAACUGUCCUAAUCUGAAAAUUAGAAACAUGGGAAACACCUCUCUCUCCCUCAUCCUCCACAUCUGGUCUUUUUCCAAGUCCUGUUCAUCAUUCCCUCUGUGAAUAUUCCUCUAAUUUGCCCACUUUAGUCGUCUCCAUCACCACUCUAGUCCAAACCAUGAAUCUGCUUUCUAUCACUAUGGAGUAGUUUGCAUCUUCUCAAAUUUUGUAUUAAUGAAAUCAUAUAGUAUGUAUGCUUUUUUUUGCUGGAUAUUUUUCACUUACUUAGCGCAAUUAUUUUGAAAUUCAGCCACAGUGAUGCUCGUAUCAAUAACUUAUUCAUUUUCAUUGCUGACUAUUUUUCCAUGGUAAGGAUAUCCCACAGUUUGUUUUUGAUUCACCAUUGAUGGACAUUUGGGUUGUUUCCAGACUGGGUUAUGACAAAGCUUCUGUGAACAUUUGUGUACAAGUAUUAGUACUUGUACCAAUGAACACAUUCUUUCAUUGCUUUUGUGUAACUAUCUAGGAAUGGCAUGGCUGGGUCACAUGAUAGGGAUAUGUUUAACCUUUAAAGAAAUUGUCAAACUGUUUUCCAGACUGCUUAUAUCAUUUUACACUCUCAUCAGUAAUGCUGAGAAUUCCUUUUGCUCCAUAUCCUCACCAACACUUGGUAUGGUCAAUAUUUUUAAUUUUAGCCAUUCUGGUGGGUGGGUAGCAAUAUUGUUUUUGCUUUAAUUUGUAAUUCACCAUUGUUUCAUGAUGCUGAGUAUCUUUUCAUGUGCUUAUUUGCCAUCUGUGUAUCUUCCUUGGUGAAGCAUCUGUUCAAAUCUUUUGACUAUUUAAUUGGGUUGUUUGCCAUAUUAUUGAGUUGUGAGUGUUCUGUAUAUAUUCUAGACACAAAUCUGUCAGAUUUACAUUUGCAAAUAUUUUCUUCCAGCCUAUGGGUUUGCCUUUUUCAUUUUCAUUACAAUGUGUUUUGAAGAACAAAGUUUUAAAUGUCGAUAAAGUGCCACUUAU
This 5861-nucleotide long non-coding RNA is filed under the name Homo sapiens (human). RNAcentral describes it as "non-protein coding lnc-TFDP2-14:1". The record is from RNAcentral. Lineage: Eukaryota; Metazoa; Chordata; Mammalia; Primates; Hominidae.